GACGAACGCUGGCGGUAUGCUUAACACAUGCAAGUCGAACGAGAAGUCUUUUAUUGAACCUUCGGGGGAUAUAAGAGACAGACAGUGGCGAACGGGUGAGUAACGCGUGGGCAACCUACCUAUCGGAGCGGGAUAGCCUCGAGAAAUCGGGAGUAAAACCGCAUAACACGGAUAUAUCGCAUGAUGAAUCCGUCAAAACUCCGGUGCCGAUAGAUGGGCCCGCGUCUGAUUAGCUAGUUGGUAAGGUAAGGGCUUACCAAGGCAACGAUCAGUAGCCGGUCUGAGAGGGCGAACGGCCACACUGGAACUGAGACACGGUCCAGACUCCUACGGGAGGCAGCAGUGGGGAAUAUUGCGCAAUGGGGGCAACCCCUGACGCAGCAAUACCCGCGUGAGUGAAAGAAAGGUUUUUCGGAUCGUAAAAGCUUCUGUUAUUGGGGAAAGAAA
RNAcentral lists this ribosomal RNA (447 nucleotides) under Pseudoramibacter alactolyticus. RNAcentral describes it as "bacterial SSU rRNA". It matches the Rfam family "Bacterial small subunit ribosomal RNA", at positions 28 to 451 of the family's 1533-position model. The record is from RNAcentral. Lineage: Bacteria; Bacillati; Bacillota; Clostridia; Eubacteriales; Eubacteriaceae.